RNAcentral lists this long non-coding RNA (224 nucleotides) under Nicotiana benthamiana. RNAcentral describes it as "long non-coding RNA (NBEN_LNC000726)". Lineage: Eukaryota; Viridiplantae; Streptophyta; Magnoliopsida; Solanales; Solanaceae. The record is from RNAcentral.
GGCAAGCUCGAACUUCCUUUUUAGCGCCAUCAAAUUAUUCUUUUGGACCUUAUCAACUCCACUAUAUGCUUUGGCCAAAAUAUCCCAAGCCUGUUUUGUUGUUUGGUCUGUCGAAAUUUUGCCAAACACAGACAUAUCGAAGGCCUGGUGUAUUUGGGACGAGGCCAUACUAUCACGCCUUAUUUCAUUCUCUUCGGCACCUUCCUCCAGUUCUUCUCGCGUAU